UAGCAAUCAACCCCUGCUGUGAGUGCCGUUAUAUGAUGGCCAGAGGUCAAAGGAAUGCCUGAAAUAUUUCUGAGAUUGGACAGUGUGUUAUUUUUAGAGUUGUGGAAUGAGAGGGGAAAAAGUUGAGAGCUUUACAAGUAGGUCAGCUGCAGCAUUGCUUCAUAUCUCUUUCAGUAUUAUUACCAUCCUGCAGCCCAACUUUUAAUCCAGCUUGAGCUGCACCAAUUGCACGUUCACGGACACUUUUAUUGUAGUCGAAACUGCUUACAGAACCAAAACUGAGCUUCAGCAAAUACCUGAAAGACUUUCAGAAGGGAACGAUGGCCAACAGUGCUCUGUGGGCUUGUGCUGCAUUCCCAGGCUGCGUGUUGCUGACGGCGUUCUGAUGCUGCUGUGUUCUUCUCCAGGAGGAUUAGACACUUCCUGAAUUACAUGUUGUCGGUCAUGAGGAGAUUU
Cyprinus carpio (common carp) is the source of this 456-nucleotide long non-coding RNA. NCBI's taxonomy places the organism in Eukaryota, Metazoa, Chordata, Actinopteri, Cypriniformes, Cyprinidae. The record is from Ensembl.